Long non-coding RNA from Cynoglossus semilaevis (tongue sole), 646 nucleotides. RefSeq lists it as uncharacterized. The transcript has 3 exons. The record is from RefSeq and is a predicted model, not a curated record. NCBI's taxonomy places the organism in Eukaryota, Metazoa, Chordata, Actinopteri, Pleuronectiformes, Cynoglossidae.
CAUCUUGUUGCUCAGAGACAAUCUUUGGAGCGACUCUCCUCUUUGACUGGCAGUCAAGGAAAUCUGCCUGGAAACAGAGGAAAAUUACCCCGGAAACGCCAGAAAGAGAAGAGCCUCGAAGGCAACGCGGCGUCGAUUAGGUGUCAGUGAUGGGUGGAGACCAGAGCCACGAGAGGAAGGCGGAGGAGAGCAGAGAGAAGACGGAGGAACAACAGGACACAUCAGUUUCUGCUGCUCCUGAUGGUCAGACUGGAGAUCUGCCCCAGUGCAGGAUGGGAAACAAGCAAGUGGACAACAUGUGUUUCAUGAUCUCGUGCACCAACUGGUACUAAAUGCCGUUCCAGAGCAGUAGCUUCUUCAUCUGUGGAGCAGAAGAACUGAUGAUGAAACACAGAUGAAGAUGAGGCUCAUCCACUUCCUGGACCAGAGGAAACAUGGUCCAGAAAGAUGGCAAACAUCUGAAAUUCUUCAGGAGAAGAUCUUUCUGGAAGGACAACCUAAUUUCUUCUACCUUCUCUGUGCAGCAGCACGAAGAGGUUUUUACUCGUCAGACGUUACCGUGAUUUAAUCCAGUUUAACAAUGAGAGCCUCUCUCUCGCCUUUCGUCACCUUCAAAGUAUUUGUUUAAACAUUGUGAACAUCCAUC